AGGAACAGGCUUGGCGGGGAGCCUGGGGUGGGUUCCUCCAGAAGAGUGAAGGUGAGACCCUAGGUGUGCUGUUCCAUGAGGCAGAGCUCUUCCCCAUCCCUGCCGGUGCUGCCCCAGCUUAUGCUGCCGUUUCCCUCUCCCCCUUCCCCACUCUUCCAUGCUGAAUAAAUCCCUCCCGAGGCAGGUGUGAAAUAUUCAUGACUGACAAAUGAAGAUUUAUGUUGGGCUGAGGAGGCCUGUGUGUGUUUGCAAUGCUAAUCAGCCUGCUUUCCUGGAGGAGGCUCUGCCAUACGGGCCUGGAGGAAGGAGGGGGAGAUGCAGGAGGGAACGGGAAGAAGGAGCUGAGGAAGAAAGAGGAGGGGCAGACAGGGGUGAGGAAGGUGUGGGGGGACCAAGAAAUCGUGAGACAAAGAAGGGACAGGUAGAAGGAGAUGGAGAGGGUGAAGAAGAGGGACAGGCUGCAAAGAACAGGGGAAGAGAUGGCCAUACUGGAAAAAAUGGAAUGGUAAAGGGAGAAAGGGACCAGAGAGAGAAAGGGUUGAUCUCUGUCCGGCUUCUCCUUCUUCCACUGCGUGGGCACCUCCUGUCCUCCUUGCCCCUUCUCGCCCUUAUGGUCCCCACACUGUCUGCCCCAUCCUCACGCGUUUGGCUUGGCCUUUGCCUCCCCCAUAACUACCACCGCCACUGUGAGGCCUUGCUCCUGGGUGUCCUGCCCCCGUGGCCUGCUCUCCACCUUGGGAGAGGCCAGCCGGGUCAGUCCAGACCCUCCAGGACUGGUACGACUGGUCCAUCCACAAGCACAGCACCUGGGGCGAGGGGAUGGGAAGGGGCAGGCAAACUGCCAGGCACAGAGCUGGGGGCAUCAGCCCUCGAAUGUAAGGAAGGGCCUGGGAGGCAGCUGCUGGGACUGGCUCCUUGUGGCCUCUUUUGGUGUUCCUCCUUCCGUAACAACCCUGUGACCCCCCUUGGUUGUGUAUGGACAAAUUUGAGUUGGAGUUACGUUUUCUUCUUCUUUUUAUUUCUUUGUUUCCUUCCUCUUUCUUUUCUUCUUUUGGAUUUGUAUUUCUUUCUUUUCUUCCCUCUUUUUUCCUUUCUUUUCUUUUCCUGUUUUGAAUGGCACGAAAUCAUUUUUCCUCAACUUGGAGAUUCCUGUAUGGAGAAAAUCAAUUUCUAUAUUUGCAAUAAAUUUCUUAUUUAAAAAAAAGAAAAAGAAAAA
This 1216-nucleotide long non-coding RNA is filed under the name Strigops habroptila (Kakapo). Its description in RNAcentral is "lncRNA (ENSSHBG00005002751.1)". Lineage: Eukaryota; Metazoa; Chordata; Aves; Psittaciformes; Psittacidae. The record is from RNAcentral.